This 449-nucleotide ribosomal RNA is filed under the name uncultured organism. RNAcentral's name for it is "partial 16S ribosomal RNA". It matches the Rfam family "Bacterial small subunit ribosomal RNA", at positions 335 to 800 of the family's 1533-position model. The record is from RNAcentral.
ACUCCUGCGGGAGGCAGCAGUGGGGAAUAUUGGACAAUGGGCGCAAGCCUGAUCCAGCCAUGCCGCGUGAGUGAUGAAGGCCCUAGGGUUGUAAAGCUCUUUCACCGGUGAAGAUAAUGACGGUAACCGGAGAAGAAGCCCCGGCUAACUUCGUGCCAGCAGCCGCGGUAAUACGAAGGGGGCUAGCGUUGUUCGGAUUUACUGGGCGUAAAGCGCACGUAGGCGGACUAUUAAGUCAGGGGUGAAAUCCCGGGGCUCAACCCCGGAACUGCCUUUGAUACUGGUAGUCUUGAGUUCGAGAGAGGUGAUUGGAAUUCCGGGUGUAGAGGUGAAAUUCGUAGAUAUUCGGAGGAACACCAGUGGCGAAGGCGGCUCACUGGCUCGAUACUGACGCUGAGGUGCGAAAGCGUGGGGAGCAAACAGGAUUAGAAACCCGAGUAGUCCCAUGA